UACAGAGGCCCCAAGCGUUACUGAGAAUCACUGGGUUUAAAGGGUGCGUAGGUGGUCCGUUAAGUUCGUUGUGAAAUCCCUGGGCUCAACCCAGGAAAUGCUUCGAAUACUGGCGGACUUGAGGCUAGUAGAGGUCACUGGAACUGACGGUGGAGCGGUGAAAUGCGUAGGUAUCGUCAGGAACGCCGAUGGUGAAGACAGGUGACUGGGCUAGUUCUGACACUGAGGCACGAAAGCGUGGGGAGCGAACGGG
This 253-nucleotide ribosomal RNA is filed under the name uncultured bacterium. RNAcentral describes it as "partial 16S ribosomal RNA". It matches the Rfam family "Bacterial small subunit ribosomal RNA", at positions 524 to 776 of the family's 1533-position model. The record is from RNAcentral.